RNAcentral lists this long non-coding RNA (283 nucleotides) under Nicotiana benthamiana. Its description in RNAcentral is "long non-coding RNA (NBEN_LNC012818)". The record is from RNAcentral. Lineage: Eukaryota; Viridiplantae; Streptophyta; Magnoliopsida; Solanales; Solanaceae.
AGGCACCGGUUCUAAAAUGGCAGUUGGGUAUGUAAAAUGGUGAUGUUUUAGAGAGAGAUAGAACGCUUGAAUUGAAGAGACUUGACAGCAUGAUCUAAAAAUUUUAUGAGAUGGCAGUUGUAUUUUGUACCUUUUAAGACGUGAAUUAAAGGACGCACAGAACUACUAACCUUUGUGUACAAGAACUGGUUCUUGAGACGCAUGUUCGUCUUCAGGCCCCCCUUUGUUUUUUUCAAAAAAACUCUUUUAAUAGUCAUGUAUUGCAUCUGCUGCUUCUAUUCUC